UGGGGAAUUUUGGACAAUUGGGCGAAAGCCUGAUCCAGCAAUGCCGCGUGUGUGAAGAAGGCCUUCGGGUUGUAAAGCACUUUUGUCCGGAAAGAAAUCCUUGGCUCUAAUACAGUCGGGGGAUGACGGUACCGGAAGAAUAAGCACCGGCUAACUACGUGCCAGCAGCCGCGGUAAUACGUAGGGUGCAAGCGUUAAUCGGAAUUACUGGGCGUAAAGCGUGCGCAGGCGGUUUGCUAAGACCGAUNUGAAAUCCCGGGCUCAACCUGGGAACUGCAUUGGUGACUGGCAGGCUAGAGUAUGGCAGAGGGGGGUAGAAUUCCACGUGUAGCAGUGAAAUGCGUAGAGAUGUGGAGGAAUACCGAUGGCGAAGGCAGCCCCUGGGCCAAUACUGACGCUCAUGCACG
This 407-nucleotide ribosomal RNA is filed under the name uncultured bacterium. Its description in RNAcentral is "partial 16S ribosomal RNA". It matches the Rfam family "Bacterial small subunit ribosomal RNA", at positions 355 to 755 of the family's 1533-position model. The record is from RNAcentral.